Pangasianodon gigas (Mekong giant catfish) is the source of this 72-nucleotide non-coding RNA. The record is from the annotation of a GenBank genome assembly. NCBI's taxonomy places the organism in Eukaryota, Metazoa, Chordata, Actinopteri, Siluriformes, Pangasiidae.
GGCAUGGUGGUUAGUGGUUAGCACGCUUGCCUCCCACCUCCAGGGCUGAGGGUUCGAUUCCCGCCUCUGCUG